This 282-nucleotide ribosomal RNA is filed under the name Clostridioides difficile. RNAcentral's name for it is "partial 23S ribosomal RNA". It matches the Rfam family "Bacterial large subunit ribosomal RNA", at positions 683 to 965 of the family's 2925-position model. The record is from RNAcentral. Lineage: Bacteria; Bacillati; Bacillota; Clostridia; Peptostreptococcales; Peptostreptococcaceae.
UUUAACUGAGCGUUCAGUUACUGGACGUAGACCCGAAACCGGGCGACCUACCCAUGAGCAGGAUGAAGCGAAAGUAAAAGUUCGUGGAGGUCCGAACCCACGAGCGUUGAAAAGCUCGGGGAUGACUGGUGGGUAGCGGUGAAAUUCCAAUCGAGCCCGGAGAUAGCUGGUUCUCCCCGAAAUAGCUUUAGGGCUAGCCGCAAGGUGAGAGAUACGGAGGUAGAGCACUGAAUGUCCUAGGGGGUAUUGCACCUACCGAAGACUAUCAAACUCCGAAUGCCG